Molecule: long non-coding RNA, 1975 nt
Filed under: Anser cygnoides (Swan goose)
Lineage: Eukaryota; Metazoa; Chordata; Aves; Anseriformes; Anatidae
Description: lncRNA (ENSACDG00005002083.1)
Source: RNAcentral
AUGCAAGAUAAAUGGGCAUCUCCUGGCACACCUGGGCUGCCGAGAGCCAGGAGCCUCUUCCAGCUCCUCUCUGCAAACCCUCUCCUGUCCCCAGAGCCCCCUUGCUCUGGCAGUUUUACCUGGGAACCAGCCCCUGUCCCUGCCCGGCCUCUGCUGCCGAGGUCAAGCGCAGUGAGAUGCCGGAGCCCAAAUAACGUCCUGGAAGCAGCUGGAGUGCCGGAUUUCCAUCCUCACCGCCCGACCUUUGCAGCAGGGAAGGAUGCCAGCAAACAUCCCUUCUCCUCUUCCUCUGGGUCUUCUCACUCAGCACAGGGACGGAGCUGUGGGGUGCAGCCUGCUGAGGAUGAGCCUGAAUCCAAAUAUCCCAAAUCCACGACAGCUUUGUGCCUGAGCCUCGGGGUCAGCUCAGCUCCUUUUCCGUGUGAAAUUACCCAAGUCCUGCUCCUUCCCGGGGCCUCAGCUCCCCGCCUGUGCCCUGGGAUGUUAUUUGAGGCAGGGGGGCGGAUAGAUGUAGUGACGCUUGAAAGAUGCUGAGACGUGGCUGAUGGGGCGAGGAGCAGAUAAACGCACUGUUAGUGCUGGGGUGCGGCUUGGGUUCCUCCUACUCCAACCUACCCGCGAUAACUAGCCGUAACAUAUAGGAGAAGGCUGCGGCCAUUGCACUGGAUGAUUUUGGGGUCUCCUGGGCACACCCCAGCCAGGGCACGUCUGCGGGAUGGCCGGGGCUGAGGGCAGCAUCCUUCAUUGACGUGCUCUGCCUGGCCCGAGUGUUGACAAGUCCAGGGCUCCUGCAGCAGCAUCGCCCAGGGCAUCGCCACGUCCUCCGCCUUCAGCAGCUGCCCACGAUGCGGGGAUCGGGGCCGGCCCCCGCAGUGCCUGAGGAAGGAAGAAGAGGUGGAUGGAAAUGAGAUUUGUCUUCCCACAAGGGCCGUGUGGAGCUGGAACUGUUAUGGCUCAUUUCGAAAUGAAAAGGCAAUCUCCGAAUAUUGCGUUUCUGUGAAAUAUUCCGUCCCAGCUUUAGCUGAAGCACUUCACUUCAGCUUUUAUUUUUGUUACUUCAACAUUAGCAAGCACUAAUGCUGGGCAAUUUAGAGCAGAACCUAAAUGCCAAACCAAAACACUGAUGAGUUUGUGCUGAGAAGUUUGACGGUACUUCUGAGAAACCUCCGGCUGCUCUGCUGAGCCUGUUGGGAUGGGAAGGCACUUGGUGCUUUUUGGGAUAAUUCUUUCCAGGCUCUCCUCUCCUCCAUCAGGAUCCUUUCCUUGGUCCCUGGUGUGAGCGAGCAACCGAAGUGACAGGCGGAUGCGUGCCUCCAGAGCAAAGCCCCCUCUCCUGAGCAUCGCUGGCUGCUCCAAACCAGGGCGCUGACCCCCCCCGGGCAGCACACGGGUACGUUCAUACCGGGAGCGAGCGCUGGCACUCGCCUCUUCCCGCUUCCUUCUGCAGGGUGAUGAUGUGCAGUGCGAGUCCUGCCUUCCGCAGGCACCGGGUGCGAUUAGGAACAGCCCCGGUACAGAUUUCCUCCCCCAGCUCGCGCUGAUGCAGUGGUGCCGGAGCUGGGAGCGAAAUGUUGAGGUGCUGCUGGGCUCCCCGCCCCCCCUGUGCUGGGACUCUAGGAAUGUAAAUGUUCUCUUUCAGAAAUAUUUUCGGCCAGGCGUGCUCUCAUGGCUGUGUUUUUGUGGCCCUCCAGUUGCACAAAGCUUCGCCUUUUGGCCCCAAGUUACCGCCCUGAUGUUCCCCUUGACUGGAAGAGGUUUCUGUUUGGUUGUCUGGGAGGAAGGAAUAAUUCCCGAAACUGUGAGCAGGAUGGAGCUCUGCGACCCGUGGGCCCGGUCAUGCGGGGAAGGAUUGCUUUACAUGGCAGUGGAGGAGGGAGCCCAUAAAUCAGAGCAGGAAUGUCGUGCGCUCCACCUUGUCUCCUGCGCUAGUACCGCUGGAUGUGAGAAUAAAAUACAGCAUAAGGCAAAGUCUGCA